RNAcentral lists this ribosomal RNA (1461 nucleotides) under uncultured bacterium. RNAcentral describes it as "bacterial SSU rRNA". It matches the Rfam family "Bacterial small subunit ribosomal RNA". The record is from RNAcentral.
UAGAGUUUGAUCAUGGCUCAGAGUGAACGCUGGCGGCGUGGAUUAGGCAUGCAAGUCGAGCGAUCUUUGCCGAUGUUUUAUUGGAGUGCUUGCACAAAGAUAAAACUGAAGCGCUAGAUAGCGGCAAACGGGUGAGUAACGCGUGAGUAAUUUUCCCUAAAGUCAGGUAUAGCUUCGUGAAAACGGAGGUAAUCCCUGAUGUGACCAUUGAACCGUAUGAUUUAAUGGUUAAAGGUGGGGACCCUUCGGGGCCCAUCGCUUUGGGAUGAGCUCGCGUCCUAUCAGCUUGUUGGUGAGGUAACGGCUCACCAAGGCUUAUAACGGGUAGCUGGUCUGAGAGGAUGGUCAGCCACACUGGGACUGAGACACUGCCCAGACUCCUACGGGAGGCUGCAGUCGAGAAUAUUUAGCAAUGGACGAAAGUCUGACUAUGCGACGCCGCGUGCAGGAUGAAGGUUUUCGGAUCGUAAACUGCUUUUGUUAGGAAAGAAUGUUUAACGGUUAAUACCCGUUAAAUUGACGGUACCUGACGAAUAAGCCACGGCCAACUCCGUGCCAGCAGCCGCGGUAAUACGGAGGUGGCGAGCGUUACUCGGAAUUAUUGGGUGUAAAGGGCAAGUAGGUGGUUUGGUAAGUGAGGGGUGAAAUCUUCCGACUUAAUCGGAAAACUGCCUUUCAUACUGCCAGACUUGAGGAAGGUAGAGGGAAAUGGAAUUUGCGGUGUAAGGGUGAAAUCUGUAGAUAUCGCAAAGAACACCAGCGGCGAAGGCGAUUUCCUGGGCCUUUCCUGACGCUAAAUUGCGAAAGCUAGGGGAGCAAACAGAAUUAGAUACUCUGGUAGUCCUAGCCGUAAACGAUGAGCACUAGGUGUUGGGUCUUCGGAUUCAGUGCCGCAGCUAACGCAUUAAGUGCUCCACCUGGGGACUACGGUCGCAAGGCUAAAACUCAAAGGAAUUGACGGGGGCCCGCACAAGCGGUGGAACAUGUGGUUUAAUUCGAUGAUACGCGAAGAACCUCACCAGGGCUUGACAUAUAAGAAGUAGUGAACCGAAAGGGGAACGAACCGUCAAGUCGGAAACUUAUACAGGUGCUGCAUGGCUGUCGUCAGCUCGUGUCGUGAGAUGUUGGGUUAAGUCCCGCAACGAGCGCAACCAUUACCCGAUGUUGCCACCUCGAAUCUAGUUUACUAGAUUUGGGAGCACUCUUCGGGGACUGCCUGGGAUAACCAGGAGGAAGGUGGAGAUGACGUCAAGUCAGUACGGCCCUUAUGCCCUGGGCUACACACGUGUUACAAUGGCUGGUACAAAGGGUUGCCAACCCGUGAGGGGGAGCUAAUCUCAAAAAACCAGCCCCAGUUCAGAUAGGAGUCUGCAAUCCGACUCCUUGAAGCCGGAAUCGCUAGUAAUGGCAGAUCAGCACGCUGCCGUGAAUACGUUCCCGGGCCUUGUAGACACCGCCCGU